This 484-nucleotide ribosomal RNA is filed under the name uncultured bacterium. RNAcentral's name for it is "partial 16S ribosomal RNA". It matches the Rfam family "Bacterial small subunit ribosomal RNA", at positions 29 to 523 of the family's 1533-position model. The record is from RNAcentral.
AGUGAACGCUGGCGGCGUGCUUAACACAUGCAAGUCGAACGAGAACGGGUUAUAGCUUGCUAUAAUUGUCAGCUAAGUGGCGCGCGGGUGAGUAAUGUAUAGGUAAUAUGCCUCUUACUAAGGGAUAACAAAUGGAAACGUUUGCUAAUACCUUAUACUCCUUAUUAACAGAAGUUAAUAAGGGAAAGAUUUAUUGGUAAGAGAUUAGCCUGUAUUGUAUCAGUUAGUUGGUGGGGUAAUGGCUUACCAAGACUAUGACACAUAAAUGGUUUGAGAGGAUGAUCAGUCACACUGGAACUGAGACACGGUCCAGACUCCUACGGGAGGCAGCAGUGGGGAAUAUUGCACAAUGGACGAAAGUCUGAUGCAGCAACGCCGCGUGGAGGAUGACACAUUUCGGUGCGUAAACUCCUUUUAUAUGAGAAGAUAAUGACGGUAUUAUAUGAAUAAGCACCGGCUAACUCCGUGCCAGCCGCCGCGGUAA